RNAcentral lists this small RNA (606 nucleotides) under Pongo abelii (Sumatran orangutan). Its description in RNAcentral is "retained intron". Lineage: Eukaryota; Metazoa; Chordata; Mammalia; Primates; Hominidae. The record is from RNAcentral.
GUGAAAACUGCAGGCUCCGAGCUGGGUGCAGCAACCGGAGGCGGCGGCGCGUCUGGAGGAGGCUGCAGCAGCGGAAGACCCCAGUCCAGAUCCAGGACUGAGAUCCCAGAACCAUGAACCUGGUCAUCAGCAUCGCUCUCCUGCUAACAGGUACCCGGCAUGGGGCAGGACUGGGGCUCCAGGCACUCUGGCUUCCUUCCCUCCAGAGAAGCAGCUUCUCCCUCACAGUCUCAGAAAAGCGCAGGUGACGCAGAGGGCUCUUUUUCAUCCCGAAGUCAGCCAGUCCACCUCGCUGAUAUUCUGACGGCCUGAGGUGGUUUUUGGAAACAGUUUGCUGAGCCCUCCCUCACACUAUUGAACUAGAAUCCCCAACUGAGAACCCGGAACCUGCAUCAACUCCCCAAGAUCUCCUGUCCUUGAAACACAUUGAUAGGAUCCAAGGCUCAAGCAGACUGGGGAGGGAGGCUGGGGUCUGCAAAGGAGAAGUGGGAUCCCUGGGGUGGGGAAAGGCACUCAGAGAACAGACACCGGUCCCCUCCCUAGCCAGGCCCAUCUCUCCACUUCAGGUGGGUGGGAGGCCUCUGCGCCGUAGGCCCCUCCAAUUUG